GUGCGCGCAUUUUGCCACACGCAGCUUGUAAAUGAGGAUACUUGAAGUUGGACACCUCCAAAAAUUGGGGAGGGGGGGUGUUGAGUUGUGUGAAGCUGGAAUUUUUGGUUGUGUUUCUAUGCAGUCGUGUUUUCAUGAGGCGCUAUUUGACAUUUAUGAGCACAAUCGUUGCCUUAUUUUGUGGCAUUAUUGAUUUUUUUGGGGGGGAUUACUUUCAUUCUGCAUGCAGGGUUUUGUGGCAUCGUUUUUUUCUUUGGGGUGGCGGGGUCGUUUUUUUUUUUUUGUUUUUUUUUUUUUUUAAAUGAAGUACCAUUUUUUCAGGUUAUUUUAAUGACGUACAUUCGGGAUUAGUUGCAUUGUGGUUUUAUUUUUAGUUUUUAUAACGCCAACUUUCAGACGUAAUUUAUUAUAAUUAUUAUUAGGGCUCUUAUUGGCAUGCUCAGUUUGCAUUCAUAUUGUUACGUAAUGUAUUUUUAUGCAACUUUAAUGUUUACAUUCAUGACAAUGCUGUGUGUGUGUGUGUGUGUGUGUGUGUGUGUUUUUUUUUAGAUUUUUCUUUCCAAUGUUAAUGGACCUGUCACCCCAUUUUUAAGACACAAACGUUUUCAUGCACUGGAUUUUUAAAAAAUCAUUUUAUUUUUCUAAACUUUCUCAUCAAUUGUCUUUGUAUUUAUGAAAUCUGCAUGUCACUUUUUUUUCACAAUCAUAAUUAUUCCACCAUUCUCCAUGACGCUUUCAUGACACCCAGUUAUUAAUCAGUACAUGCAUGAUCAUUUUCUGGCUAGUUAUUAGCUUUCUUUUUAGUGGCACCAAUUUUUAAAGGCAAUAUCUGGAUUUUUAAAAAAAUAUAUAUAUACAUAAGAAUGAUUUGUAUUUUCUCAUGACGUUCAAGUGACACUUCAAAUAAAAAAAUAGCUUGACAUGCAA
Long non-coding RNA from Hippocampus comes (tiger tail seahorse), 927 nucleotides. RefSeq lists it as uncharacterized. The record is from RefSeq and is a predicted model, not a curated record. The transcript has 2 exons. NCBI's taxonomy places the organism in Eukaryota, Metazoa, Chordata, Actinopteri, Syngnathiformes, Syngnathidae.